Molecule: ribosomal RNA, 439 nt
Filed under: uncultured bacterium
Lineage: Bacteria
Description: partial 16S ribosomal RNA
Rfam family: Bacterial small subunit ribosomal RNA
Source: RNAcentral
CCUACGGGAGGCAGCAGUGGGGGAUAUUGCACAAUGGAGGAAACUCUGAUGCAGCGACGCCGCGUGAGGGAAGACGGUCUUCGGAUUGUAAACCUCUUUCCUCGGGGACGAAAAUGACGGUACUCACAGAGGAAGCUCCGGCUAACUACGUCCAAGCAGCCGCGGCAAUAGGUGGGGAGCGAGCGUUGUCCGGAAUUACUGGGGGAAAGGGGGGCGUAGGCGGGAGAGAAAGUUGAAUGUUAAAUCUACCGGCUUAACUGGUAGCUGCGUUCAAAACUUCUUGUCUUGAGUGAAGGAGAGGCAGGCGGAAUUCCUAGUGUAGCGGUGAAAUGCGUAGAUAUUAGGAGGAACACCAGUGGCGAAGGCGGCCUGCUGGGCAUUAACUGACGCUGAGGCGCGAAAGCGUGGGGAGCAAACAGGAUUAGAUACCCGAGUAGUC